AAAAGGAGGGGGCAAGUAUUCAAACAAUAAUCCUCACCUACAGAUGAACGUAUGUAGACGAGGAAUCACACUUAGCCUCAGUCGCAAAAAGGCGAGCAAAAGGACGGGGCAAGUAUUCAAAUAACAAUCCUCACCUACGGAUGAACGUAGGUAGAUGAGGAAUAACAUUUAGCCUCAGUCGCAGAAAAGCGAGCAAAAGGAGGGGGCAAGUAUUCAAGUAAUAAUCCUCACCCACGGAUGAACGUAGGUAGACGAGGAAGUACACUCAACCCCUAUCGCAGAAAGGCGGACAAAAGGAGGGGGUCGG
Molecule: long non-coding RNA, 307 nt
Filed under: Zostera marina
Lineage: Eukaryota; Viridiplantae; Streptophyta; Magnoliopsida; Alismatales; Zosteraceae
Description: long non-coding RNA (ZMAR_LNC005106)
Source: RNAcentral